ACCGCGACUCUGCCUUUUAGUUAAGUUCAGGUGUAAUUUCUGUUUUUAUCAGUUUAAUAUCUGAUACGCUCCUUAUUUAGAGACCAUAUAUUACAUGAAUUUUUACUAAGCUAGAAGAGGAUCUUACUCUGUCCACUCGAUACAUUGAUCUGGUAUUGCAGUGCUUCCAGGUCCGGUACACAAAUA
Pseudophryne corroboree (corroboree frog) is the source of this 186-nucleotide small nuclear RNA. RefSeq annotates it as U2 spliceosomal RNA. Lineage: Eukaryota; Metazoa; Chordata; Amphibia; Anura; Myobatrachidae. The transcript has a single exon. The record is from RefSeq and is a predicted model, not a curated record.